Molecule: ribosomal RNA, 362 nt
Filed under: uncultured bacterium
Lineage: Bacteria
Description: bacterial SSU rRNA
Rfam family: Bacterial small subunit ribosomal RNA
Source: RNAcentral
AACGAACGCUGGCGGCAGGCCUCAAACAUGCAAGUCUAGGGGGUGUAGCAAUACAUCACCGGCGGACGGGUGCGUAACGCGUGGGAAUAUACCUAUUGGUUCGGAACAACACAGGGAAACUUGUGCUAAUACCGAAUGUGCCCUUACGGGGAAAGAUUUAUCGCCAAUGGAUUAGCCCGCGUCCGAUUAGCUAGUUGGUGAGGUAACGGCUCACCAAGGCUCCGAUCGGUAGCUGUUCUGAGAGGAAGAUCAGCCACAUUGGGACUGAGACACGGCCCAGACUCCUACGGGAGGCAGCAGUGGGGAAUUUUGGACAAUGGGCGCAAGCCUGAUCCAGCCAUGCCGCGUGAGUGAAGAAGGCC